AUGAUGAAGGUCCUGAACCAAGUUCUGGGACAAAAAACAAGCAAACAAAAAAGAAAAUUGCCCAAGCUGCCAUGUCCUCAUUUCUUGUAUCUGCUCCUCCAAAACCAAGUACCCAGAAGGCAAGCAAAUCAGUGAGUGCCAUGCUCUGCAAGACUCCAGAAGAAGUAGUUGCAGAGAGGCAUAAAAACAAAACUUCUCAGUCCACCCUUGAGCACUGCACAAAGAAAGGGACACAAGCACAGCAAAUUGUUGACGACCAUGUAGCUGAUUUUCUGUAUGAGAACAAGAUUCCAUUGAAUGUCGUAAACUCAAGAAGUUGG
RNAcentral lists this unclassified non-coding RNA (320 nucleotides) under Zea mays. Its description in RNAcentral is "misc RNA Zm00001eb347170". The record is from RNAcentral. Lineage: Eukaryota; Viridiplantae; Streptophyta; Magnoliopsida; Poales; Poaceae.